RNAcentral lists this transfer RNA (72 nucleotides) under Bacillus sp. BB51/4. RNAcentral's name for it is "tRNA-Gly". It matches the Rfam family "tRNA". Rfam says of the family: Transfer RNA (tRNA) molecules are approximately 80 nucleotides in length. Their secondary structure includes four short double-helical elements and three loops (D, anti-codon, and T loops). Lineage: Bacteria; Bacillati; Bacillota; Bacilli; Caryophanales; Bacillaceae. The record is from RNAcentral.
GCGGAAGUAGUUCAGUGGUAGAAUACAACCUUGCCAAGGUUGGGGUCGCGGGUUCGAAUCCCGUCUUCCGCC